AAAAGGGUCAUUUAGGGAUUCAAGAAGCUGCCAUGGUUGAUGAAUCUUUGGUGAUCAUGGACAAAUACUGGAGUCCAUCUUCCAUCGAUCUCAAUUAUCUGCACCACAAUGGAAUUUCCCAAGAGGUAAGCUCAAAUUAAUGCUGUCAUGCUUAGAUUUACUAAUUAGUUCAUAUACAGUAGUUGUUCUAGACAAGUAUAUAUCUGUGUGUAUAUAUAAUAUAUGUAUACAGUACUUUUCAAGAAUCAAUAUGCAAGACAAUUACUUAAUUAAGUAUAAAAGACAGAUUUCUGACCACCCAAAAUAAUCGUUUUCUGCAGCAUCAAAUUGGAGAUUUUCAAUUCUUUGGCAAAUCAUGGGAGAACUAUGACAGUCAAAAUCUGUAUGUUAAUUAGUACAUAUAUAUAUGGUAAUUAUUCUCUUAUAACAUAAAUAUAUGUACUCCUUGUAUAUGCCAAGUGGAUAUAUAUAAACAUUUAUGGCUAUAUAUAUAGGAGAAUGUUUUCUUAGUACUCUUGGAGUGUAACGUAUGUAUAUGUCAAUUGUGGAAGAUUCUUCUUGCUCUUUUUCUCAAUAAUUAAUUGUGUGUUAUUAAUUAUCAUCAAUUAGAUUGAUAAUAUUACUCUAUAUUAUUUCGUCUAAUUUUCUGUCAUAAGAAUAUGUUAAUUUAUGGUAACACAUUAUAUAGCUAGAACAAUCCAAAGUUGUCUGUACAAUGGAUUUCCACAGUAUAUAUAUAUAUUAAUUAUUCAAAUUCUAUCAAUAAUCUCAUUUCUUCUUGACUCAACAUACGUAUGCAUACGAACAGUUUGACACACACAAAAAAAAAAAAAACACACACAUACAUAUCAUUUUUGGUGUGAAUUCAUGUAAUUUUCUUUUAGUUGGCGACUAAUUAUGGUUACUUAAUUUUACUCAAUUUAAUGAAUUAUAACCUUAAUUACGUUUAAUCAUUCUUGAAAGUGGGUUUUGGUGAUUUCGCAAGUAAGUGCAUUGGAGUGGAUAAAUUCAUCGUAAAAAACUUUUAAGAAGUGAUUGAAUAGACCCUUGAGUGAUCCACUAUCCUCUUUUAAGUCUUGUUUUUCCACCUUCAAAAUAAAGUUUUCAAAGUUCAUGCAUUGAAACCCAAGAUGAGUGUUUUCAACAUAUCAAUUUUAAUUUUAAUUUCUGUCUUUUAUAAUUAUGUAUAUAUAUGCAAAAUCUACUUAUAGCACAAGCAUGUCCUCUACAAUUCACUAGCAACUUCUGAGGCCAUAAAGUUCACUAGAAACUUUUGUUAUAGUGGGAGUUCAUGAAAUUCUGAGUCUUUGAAUUGAAUUUACAGUUAGAACUUGGAAAUGGGUUGAUCUUAAUUUUCUUAUAAAUCAAGUAACAUAGCAUAUUGAAAGUUGAAAAUUAGCCAUCUUUAGCACUUCUUUGAUUUAGAUGAAAAAUGAACAUAUUUCUUCCAUAAAUAUACCUUUCUAGCAAAAUAUUUACGCUGUGUGUUAAAAAAAUAUAUAUUUUAAGAUAAUUUUAAAUAAGCUUAAGAAAAUAUAUUUUAAAUUCUACAAUUCAUAUAGAACAAACAUAACUUUGAAUUGCACAAUGAUCAUUUGUUAAUCUCCUCUUAAUUUGUGAUAACCUAAUUCCAUAUGAAAAAUAAAAUAAAAUGGUUACAUUUAAAAACCAAAGAUAAAAGUUUAAGUUCCUAACUGCCAUAUAUACAUAUAUAUUAAAAAAAUUUGAACUUAUAUUUUUGAAUUACUAAUUACUUGAGUUUGGAUUUGUGAGAAUUAAUUGUUUAAAUCAAAAGUUUCAAGAUCAGUAGUGCUUAGAUCAAGUGCAUUGCAAUUGAUGAUUGAGUAUAAGCUAAUUCAAUAAUCCUCUACUAAUGCAUUCCUAAACUUCACCAAUUCAUUCUUAGAACUUGUGAAAAUUUAAUAAUAAUAUGUGACAUUGAUAAAGAUAAGAAGACCGUAUGAUUAUUAUCCUCUAACAAAGACCUAAAGAGACAAGCACACAUAUAUUAAUAAUACCUUGAGGGUUCUUCCUUCAACAAGUGUUGAUUUUUUUUUUUUAUAAAUAAUUUGAAUUUUAAUCUUUGAAAGUUAGUAAUUUAUGUUUGGAAAAUUAUUAAAUUAGUGGUAUUAGAGUUGUGAUAUUAUAAAUGAUAUAGAGUUAGUUUUAUCAUGGUGCCUCCAUAAUGGAUCAUAUUUUACACUUAUAAUUAUAAUUUGUAAAAUAUUGUUAUUUGUCUAGUUUGAAUAAAAAUAUCAGUAAUUUGAGAGGAUGAGAUUUUAUAAUUUACUCUUGUAUUAAAAUAUAUAUGAUUGUUGAGUUUUAUAUAAAAAUUUAAAUUAUAUUAAUAAUAAAUUAUUUAAAUUUUAAAUUUAUUAAAUUAAUAGUGUUUGGUUCUAGGAAUAUUAAUUGUAUAUUUUAUGUGUAUUUUUUAAUAGAACAUGUUUUAUGUGUAUUAUACUUAAGUGCUUCCUGCUUGUAUAUGCUUGUAACAUCCUUCAUACUUUUCCAAAGGGUUUCUCUAGCUUAUAUCUAUUUUUAGAGCAUCUUAAUGAAGAUUGCUAAAAAAACUGUGUAUAUAUAUAUCUCUCUCUCUCUCUCUCAAAAUUGUGAAUGUGAUACAUAUUAUUGUAAAAUAUUGUCCCUUUUAGCAGAAAAAAAAAAAAAUAAUUGAUCCCAAUAUUUUUUUUUUAUGUUUUUUCUCUUUUUAACAAAACAAGAUAACUAGAUAAAUUCAUUUUUGAAAAAUAAAUUUUCCAUGUUUUUGCCACACGUGUGUGUGUGUGUGUGUGUGUGUGUGUGUAUUAUUCCUUUCUAAAACCAUCAUAAACAAGGAGAAAGUUAACUGCAGACCUCAUCUCCUCCUCAUUUACUUUUCUUUAAUGUCUAUCUUUUCCUUUCUCUGCGUUGCCUUUUCUUUCCAGAUUCCAACUCUUACAUAUCAAGCUCUAAUUGCCAUUAGAGUCUAUCUAUAAGAUAAGAAGCGAGUUGGUAUUAAACACAUUAUAAAGAACCAUUACAACGUUAUCUAAUUUGAGGACAAAAGAGAAUGUAAUCUGCACGGUAACAAGCUCAUAGAGCUUUAUUUCCUAAGUGCUCUACUCUAAAAUUAAUAUUAACAAAACUCUGCAGACUAAUUUGGAGUUGCAUGCAUGAACAAAAGCUACUUUUUAAUUUUAGUUAUAUUGGUUAGUAAAUUUCUAUCGAUAACAUAUAAAAACAUAUAAAAUAAAUUGAACCCACAAUUUCUUAUACAGUAAAAAGUGUACCAACAAUUCAGUUAUAAGUUUAUUAAUUACUUUUCUGAAUUAAGCUUAUAACUGAUAUUUAGAACCCACAUGUUCUCCGUAGAAAUUUAUGUUAUAAUGAUAAAUUUGUAAAUAUUAUCUAAUUUAUGAAAUGUAUGUAUUUUUAUUCGAAAAUAAAUCAUAAAAGUAAAAAUAAAUAUUCAUCAUUUUCAGUUGCCGGCUAGUCAUCUAUUCUUGGUGGCAAACCUACUUGUUUAUUGAUCUUGUUAAUUUGCUUGUUGCUGGGUGUGACUGGCAAUGAUUAUUGUGCUCUUACCUAGAAAUUUUCAGCCUAAGCAGUUAAGCUCCAAGGGGCGAUAUUCCGUGGGGUUACAUCAAUAAGCAAUGAAAACAAGAUGCAGUGCAGCAUAUGGCAGCCAAAAAGUGAUUUUAACUACCUUGACAGACAAUGCAGGCCACUAGAUCAUCAAACAAUUUGAUGAGCCUAAUUAAAUCAUUUCAUCGAUCUGUGAAUCAAGUUAGAUUUCUUCUAGUAUGCUAAGGUAUAUGUUAGUCAAAGAUCAACUUGAUGCCAUCUAAUUUAGUUUGUCAUGUCUAAUUUUAGCCCACAAUAAAAAUGCAAAGCAAAAACCUAAUAUUCAAGAGGAACUUGAGGAUAAAAUCUAAAUAUGGUUUGAAGUUAAGCUACUACUAAUAAUCUAUUCUUAAUCUGAAAUUAAAAACCACCACAAGUAUAGAUAUUUUUGCUUUAGAUAUGCUGAAGAUGUUCCGUACUAGUAUAGAUAUAGACAUAUGUGCAUUUAUGUACGUAUGUAUAUAUGUGAAGUCCAGGUCGGCUUUGCUGCACUUCCAUAAAAUUUGAAUUAUAUUUUUAGAUAUAUACAUAUAUAUAAUAUAAUGCUAGAGCUACUCAAGAUUGUGGCCUGAAUUAAAAAAUAUAUAUAUAUAUAUAUAUAUAUCCUCCAAUCAUUGUGGCAAACAAAGAUCAAGGUUAAAAAGCGUGAGGUCCACCAUAAAUUGCUUGUUGCCUCCCAUGUCAGACAUGGAAGGUGAUACUUGUCAUGAUAACAUAUGGCCAUGUUCUACCUGUUUGCAAAGACUCCAUUUAGCUUUCUGGUCCUUUCAUGUUGCGUUAUGUACAGGUGUAUAUAUGCCAGUUAGCGCCUAGUACAAUUCCUCCUAAUUAAGCUCGAUAAUACCUAGAUCACACUUUGUAGCAACCCUCCCAAAUUCUACCCAAUCCUUUAAUGAGCUUACUUAUCGUCAGUUAUAUAUAAAUACAUAUUACCCCAUCUUUCAUACUUUUUGCGUGCUAAACAGGCCGACCUCAAAAAUAUUUGUCUUAGGAAAUGUAUGUGUCUGAAGUCUUAGGAAAUGUAUUAACCUAUGUAUACAUUUAUAUAUUAAGUCUAAGAAAAUGAGCAAGGAACUUAACUUACUAUUAAUGGAGCUGCAAUCAUCACUUGUCAGAGAUAGANNN
This 4728-nucleotide long non-coding RNA is filed under the name Carica papaya (papaya). RNAcentral's name for it is "long non-coding RNA (CPAP_LNC011683)". Lineage: Eukaryota; Viridiplantae; Streptophyta; Magnoliopsida; Brassicales; Caricaceae. The record is from RNAcentral.